ACUGACCGGCCAGGCUCGGCGCUGGGAGGCCGCAGGGAUUCCAGGUCGGCCAUGGCCAUCCACUCGUUGAGGCAGCUCUGGUCAGAGCUCAGUCUGUCCUGGUAGUAUGCAGCCCAGACCCUCCAACCGGCUCUGAGAAGAGGAGGCCGGCCGGAGACCGGGGCCGCCCUAACCCUUACCACAUGGUCUGGAUGGAGAUGGGCUUGAAGAUUCGGCUCUGCCCACCGGACGUCACACUGAAGCCCCUGAGGGAGACCAGGUACACCUGGGUGUCACUCCAGAGAGGCAAGACCAGGCCCAGGGUGCAGCUCGGGGAGCUGGCGGGGGGACAGAAGAAAAGCCAUUGUUCCCCAGCAUCUCACUUCCUUGCCCCCCUCCCUUCCUCUCCCUGCUCGCACCUGCUGUCGGGGAAAUCCACUCCCAAGAGGACUGUCUCAUCCUGGCUCUGAUGUUCUCUUGUGGAAACUACCAGCAGGUUCCAGAUUGGUAGUUACAACCCAGUGGCUGCCAACUUUGGGAUUCCAUGGUCCCACAGAACGUUUAAGAAGAUUUUUCGUGGGGCGCCUGGGUGGGUGGCUCAGUCGGUUAAGUGUCCGACUUCGGCUCAGGUCAUGAUCUCACGGUCCGUGAGUUCGAG
Molecule: long non-coding RNA, 637 nt
Organism: Leopardus geoffroyi (Geoffroy's cat)
Lineage: Eukaryota; Metazoa; Chordata; Mammalia; Carnivora; Felidae
Exons: 4
Source: RefSeq, a predicted model, not a curated record